ACCCCUACGGGGGGCAGCAGUGGGGAAUAUUGCACAAUGGGGGAAACCCUGAUGCAGCCAUGCCGCGUGUGUGAAGAAGGCCUUCGGGUUGUAAAGCACUUUCAGUCAGGAGGAAAGGGAUGUAGUUAAUACCUGCAUCCUGUGACGUUACUGACAGAGGAAGCACCGGCUAACUCCGUGCCAGCAGCCGCGGUAA
Molecule: ribosomal RNA, 196 nt
Filed under: uncultured Gammaproteobacteria bacterium
Lineage: Bacteria; Pseudomonadati; Pseudomonadota; Gammaproteobacteria
Description: partial 16S ribosomal RNA
Rfam family: Bacterial small subunit ribosomal RNA
Source: RNAcentral